RNAcentral lists this long non-coding RNA (1293 nucleotides) under Mus spicilegus (steppe mouse). RNAcentral's name for it is "lncRNA (ENSMSIG00000017447.1)". Lineage: Eukaryota; Metazoa; Chordata; Mammalia; Rodentia; Muridae. The record is from RNAcentral.
CAUAAAAGAAGAGUUCUGUGCGGAAUGUUUGCUCUACAGAACUAUUUAAUAUCCUCUGACCUUAAUCCUAUAAGAUCCAACUUUCCAGAAGAAGGGAGGAGGAAAUUAGAAGGAAGAGGAGGAUGAGGAUGAGAAGAAGAAAGACAAAAGAAGAAGAAAAAAGAAGUAGAAGACGCAAGAACAAUUUUAAAGUAUAUGCUGUGCCUCUGCAAGUCUCUGCAAGACUUUUAUAUGAAGGAGAUCCUCCUCAGCCUUCUCAACCUAAAGGUGGCACUUGGGACAGAGGUCCAUAACAUGGGGAGGAUAUGGAAGAUGGGCAACUAGAUAAGCCUUGGGAACUCACACACCCUGAUAAUGGGCCCAUAUCUUACCAUACUUGCCAAUACAUGAAGGGUACUUCAGGCCACAAAUUAGGAAUGGGAGAAAACACAGGUUACAAGUAGAUGUGGAUAAAGGCUGGGGUAUAUCUGUUCCCUAUUCCAUACUCUGUUCACCCAAGGGACAGUGCUGAAGAGCUUUGUAUCUGAGUGAUCAAGAGGAUGAGGCCAUGCUCCCAACAGCUUAGUGAAAGACCUCCGAAGGGAGACCCUCACUUGAGUCUUGGGAUAAUAGAGGACCCCCAAGAACUCACGAGGGACCAAACUUGAUGCAAACCACACGAGGCUUUAUUCGGGGAAAGCCAGAGCUCUGGGGACGACCUGUAUCCCACACAGGGGUAGAGGAGUUGACCUCGAGGGGAAAGGGGUCCCAGUUUUUAUAGGUCCUCAAGAGGGAAAGGAGAAGGAGGGAGUAGGGGAUUUCCAGAUCUAAACAAUGUCUAUUCUAAAAUGAUUGAUUUCUCAAGAAAUGGGUAUGGGAGGGAAACAAGGAAAGAGUCUAAUGAAGGUGCAGUAACUCCAGAUUGGUCCCGACUAUGGUUGCUGGGGAGAUUUUCCGACUCUAUCCCAGCAACCAAUAUCACAAACACAUGGCAGUGAGGUGAAGCAGUGGGCACACACCUGGGUUCAAGGAACGGUCAGAACAUUGGCAGACACACGGGUUCAAGGAGCAGCCAGAGCAUUGUGCACCUCUAUUUUUCUAAAUCAGUGAAGCUACUUCUACUAACAAUGAAAUCUAUUUUGCCAAUUUCAGGGCUUCUGUGACCUUUUACAUUCUGUCAGGAUCUUUCAUUAGCAUGCUGCUGCAUCUUUGCCCCUGAUCCAGCAGUACAAUUCCAAAGGAGAAGCCAACAAAGCUCUCUGGAAAGUAGAUAGGUCUGCAGACUUUGAGGCAUUCUGAGUCCAGCUGACCUUA